GUGAGAGGAAGAGGUCGAUGGAGUGGGACAAUGAGAGGGGGAGGAAGAGUGAGAGGUAAGGCUGCUGAAGGAAGAGGAGGAGGAGACAUUAGCUGAUCAUGUUAUCAACCAUGGAUUGACGCUGAGAGCCCAACUUGAGCAGAUUUACUGUUUCCUCUGUCAUCCGGAUACCACAAAUCAUCAACUGUUUGUUAUCUGUUUACUUCAUGAAUGGCUGCCAUGCCAUGCAUUUUAUAACUGUACAAGAAUCCUGCACAAUCUACUGUGGGAGGAAAAAACUUCUUUAGGCUACACUGGCCAUUUAUGUACUAUAUUUUUGGCUUGUCGAAAGGACUGAAAGACAGCAACGAGGUGGUGGAAGGGGCCCAAUGCUCAAAGCCACAUCAUAAGAGAUAACACAGUUUUCAACAAUAUCCAGCAAGUCAGCUUGUCUAUUUUGGCCCGUAUUCUCCUCCAAAACCAAGAGCACAUGGAGCAGCUCGAUAGGGCGCCUUCUGAGAGAAUGCCCAGAGAAUAAAAAAAAAGUUUGUGGAAAGAGUACGGGAAAUGGACUCUGGUGUCACCCUCACAAAGACCAGGAGAAGGGGAAGAAACAUCACUGGUCACAGAGGCAUUGCAGAUGUUCCUGGUCAACAUGGUGGGAUGUUCCUGGUCAACAUGGUGGGAAUAUUACAAUGUGUGCCGCCAUACAAAUAAUGGUGUCCUCCACCGCCACGCCCCCCUCGGUCCAUACAAAACAAACCACUUUCUCACAUUUUUGGAUAGACUGCCCAACAUAUUGAAACCAGCAGACCGCAUGGAUAAUGCACAGGGGCACAGAUGUGUUGUAGCAUGGGACAAUGUCAGCUUCCAUCGUGCAGCCCUGGUCCAAACACACACAGUUUCUGGUUCAGUACCUUCCACCCUACUGUCCAUUUCUCAAUCCAAUCAAAGACUUAUUUUCGGCAUGCCGGUGGAAGGUGUAACACCGAGGCGUGUGAUGACACUGAAGUGCCGUCCAGGGCUGGAUAUGACAUUCCCAGUGCUUCUUCCCUCGCUGUCUUGCAAUGGAGGAUAUUUCAUGUGAUGUGGAUGAGAUGCUGUGACUGGACCCAGCAAGGUGACAAGAUGCAGCCUAAAUAUUCUUUGCUGUUUUUUCUUUUUUGUGUGUGUGUGUAUUUUUUUCUGUACAUGCAGUAACAUCCCAGGUUUCUUAUCACUGUAUUUGAUAGAGCAUAUGUUUUUGUUCCUACAACUCUAAUGCAGGAUGUGCUGUGCAUUUGCUUGAAAGAUCUGAGUACUGGUGUGUCUGCACAUUUCUGUGGACUUGAAAAAUUUCUCUCUGUAUACAGAGCUAUGAUGACAAGCCCACCAGAGAUGAAAGUGCGUUCGAUUGAGCGCAGCAGUGUGUA
Long non-coding RNA from Myripristis murdjan (pinecone soldierfish), 1391 nucleotides. RefSeq lists it as uncharacterized. The transcript has 3 exons. Lineage: Eukaryota; Metazoa; Chordata; Actinopteri; Holocentriformes; Holocentridae. The record is from RefSeq and is a predicted model, not a curated record.